CCUAGAACUGCGCAGUCUUCAGCUGAGACUAAGUUCCCUGAAAGAGAAGCAAAACGAGGUUACUGAAUUUUAAGAUUCUACAGUAAACGUGUUGGAAGACAGCAAUGGACAAGUUUUUGAUUGCUCUCGGCUGUGCACCAAAAGGUUUCACCACUGUCAAAGGCUAUAACGAGAAAUUAACGGAAGAAGCAAAACUCGGAGACCUGUUCCUGGUGAAAGAAGCUAACAGUAGCGAUGGAUCCAGUCUAGGAUACUACCAGGCUGGCGUUUACUGCAGUGAAGACCGGGAUAUCAUUCUCUUUACAUGUAAAUCUCUAAAUAUCCAUGUAAUGAACUCUUCA
Molecule: long non-coding RNA, 341 nt
Organism: Silurus meridionalis
Lineage: Eukaryota; Metazoa; Chordata; Actinopteri; Siluriformes; Siluridae
Exons: 4
Source: RefSeq, a predicted model, not a curated record